This 2034-nucleotide long non-coding RNA is filed under the name Triticum aestivum (bread wheat). RNAcentral describes it as "long non-coding RNA (TAES_LNC021775)". The record is from RNAcentral. Lineage: Eukaryota; Viridiplantae; Streptophyta; Magnoliopsida; Poales; Poaceae.
ACAAUUCCUGUUUGGUGAAAUAUAGAAGCUGUAGCAUCAUAGUCACCAUCAGUUUGCGAGAGCUGGGAAAUAGUACAGUUUUACAAACAGGAGUAUUGCUCUUUAAAAAAUAUCCCCAAAUAGGAAUAUGCGACAUUCUGAUAAACAUUGCGAUGAGAAUUUUGAGAAAGAAAGCUGAAAAUCUGCUCACUGUCGCAAUGCUGAUAGAAGAACCUUGGAAGUUUACAUCUGUUCUCAUGUCUAAUGAAAUACCGUUUAAAAAUGUACAAACGCGGAUGCACAUAAUAACUAAUCUCUAACUACAUCACAUCUGCACCGAGCAUAAGAAGCAAACCGUGCAGUGCACAAUCUGAUUGAUUUGCAUCUCUCCUGCAAUUUAUAGGAAUUGAAUUGAAUCCAACCAAUUGCCUUUGGAACACAGAAAAUCCAUUAGCAGCUAGCCUGUAAAGAGGUGAAUAAAAAAGGGGAAAUCCAUUAGGCCCGUUUUAUUCUUCCACAGAGUAAUAGAUACAAAAAGAAUGAACUAAACGGUGAUGAACUGAAGCGUCAUAUGGUAUAGGAAUAUUUACUGCAGAUGUAUCUACUUGGUAGAAAUAAAAUAGAUCAUCUGUGAAGUUACACAAUAACGGUUUUAAAACUCAAACAAAAUUUUCUCUUACUGAAUAUGGGCAGAAACCUAGUACGAAAUACACCUCACCUUUGAUACUUACCUAAUAUCAUCAUAACUGAAAAUUGUCCAUGGGUAUUACUUAACUGUCUUUGCUACAUCUUCGAAUCUAGGCAAAUAAAAAUGUAGACCUAUUCUAAUGUGAUUGAGUCUCAGUAUAUGUGUGUGCAUGUGUAAGUGCCCAUAUUGGUCGAGUAAAAUUAGAUACUUGCCUCAACAUAGGCCGAAUAUUAAAAUAAGUAAAAUAGUACCCGCAUAAUUAUGUGAUUUUGCUUCUUUUAGGGAAAUCCAUUUUUUUAAGAGAGAAAGGAAAUCCAAUUUUACGUACCAGAGAGAUACCUAAAGUGAAGCAUAAAAUAUGUCAUACUAACACUCACGGUAUUGGCGGCAAUGCUAAAGUAUAAUAGAUUAGAAUCUGUGCAACAUGUACUUGCUGGUUUAGAAUUUAGUGUGUCCGUAUUUUUGAUCCAUAAGUAACACGUUCGAAAUAUAAUUAACCUCAUCUGUUCACUCGAAUUGUUUCUAUACUGCAUCACAAUAAUACCUAUUGAUAUUUGCUAAUGAUAGUAGUUAUCAAUCGUAUGCAAGCAAGUGGUCAGGUACUAAUAAAAGUUACCUUUAUAACAGAACAAUGUAGUCCAGGAGACACUAAAUUUUUACAGCACAAAUUCUGAACUGAUGUGCUUAUUCAAAAAUAAACUAAGAAGGAGGCAAAAAUAAAACGGUUCUACCUAUCUUGUAAAAAAACAAUUCUACCUGUCUUGUAACAUGGAUCAGGAGCUUGUUCAACCAGGCAGUAGAACCAGCGGGGAGCACCAUGCCUUGCACAUGAAAAAUUAAGAAUUAAUAUUCAAGUAAGGUACAACUGUUCAGUGAUAAUCUGAAUCUUCAAGGUUCUCUUCGACUUCAGCUAACUGAUCUGGUAUUGGGAAGAUAACUUGAAAAAAAUACACGAGCUACCUCUGUUGGCUGUGUUUGCCGUUGCCCGCAGCCACAACCUCCCCCUCCCUAUCUCCAGGAUCUACCCAAAUAAAUCCACCACAUCCAAUAUAGCAACACCUCUGCAAAAUUGAGAUUGAGAUGACAUCAGGAGUGAUUGUUUGAUGGAAGAAGGAAAUCAUACACGAACGGGAAAGCGAUCUAGGGGAAGCCUUUCUUCGAGGUCAAGGUCGGGAAGGGAGCGCGCUAGGUCGCCAUGGCACUAAUCCACAUCCACGCCGCUGGGAAGGAGGAUGAUUCAUCAUUGCCGCUGCCCAGGUGCUAGAUCUGCCUUCACUGGUGCGGCUAGGUUAAGCCGAGAGUGGGAAAGGAAGAGUGUGCGGCUAGGGUUAGGGACGCCGAGAGUGGGGAGCGAGGGGAGGUUACGG